This 421-nucleotide ribosomal RNA is filed under the name uncultured prokaryote. RNAcentral's name for it is "bacterial SSU rRNA". It matches the Rfam family "Bacterial small subunit ribosomal RNA", at positions 355 to 791 of the family's 1533-position model. The record is from RNAcentral.
UGGGGAAUUUUCCGCAAUGGGCGAAGGCCUGACGGAGCAAUACCGCGUGAGGGAGGAAGGCUUUUGGGUUGUAAACCUCUUUUCUCAAGGAAGAAGAUCUGACGGUACUUGAGGAAUCAGCAUCGGCUAACUCCGUGCCAGCAGCCGCGGUAAUACGGAGGAUGCAAGCGUUAUCCGGAAUGAUUGGGCGUAAAGCGUCUGCAGGUGGCUAUGCAAGUCUGCUGUUAAAGAGUGGAGCUCAACUCCAUAAGGGCAGUGGAAACUGCGUAACUAGAGUACGUUCGGGGUAGAGGGAAUUCCUGGUGUAGCGGUGAAAUGCGUAGAUAUCAGGAAGAACACCAGUGGCGAAAGCGCUCUACGGGGCCAGAACUGACGCUGAGGUACGAAAGCUAGGGGAGCGAAAGGGAUAAGAUACCCCCGU